Non-coding RNA from Oryctolagus cuniculus (rabbit), 5667 nucleotides. The record is from RefSeq and is a predicted model, not a curated record. Lineage: Eukaryota; Metazoa; Chordata; Mammalia; Lagomorpha; Leporidae.
AUGAUAUAUGUAGCGUGACUACAAAAUGUUUUCUUCUCUUUCUGGUAACACACAUCAACUUAUUUCUCUCUCAGUCUCCCUCAUGGAAAUGAACGCCUGCACUCAAGCCAGAACCUGUGGUUUCUGCUCCUUCUUCUGUCACACUCAGUCCAGUGGCUGUGAUCGCUGUUUGUCAGGGAACUUCACAGGUGUCUUCUUAUGUCAAGUGAAACUGGACAGUGCUCUGGAAUGACAGCCGCUCCUGAACACUGGUGAGCCUCCAGCUGCCACGCCUACCAGCUGAUUGACCAGUGGAAGAUGAAUGGAGACAGUGAAGCCUGGCAAAGGUAAGCUGCUUUUGAUGGGAGGGAUUCACUUACUCCCAGGAGCCCCAUUCUUAUACACCCUCUGUGCCAGAGUGAAUUAAAAUCCAUUCCUUAGUACAUGACUAUAAAGGGAUCAUGGGAGUAGAUCAUCACUGAUUUGCUUCUCGAAGUCUGAGAAGUCCUGGGUAGAGUAUUACUCCCUCAGUUUGUCCAUGGGACAGGAUACUCCACAGUGUACUGUAGCUGUAAGGAAGUCUUGGAGCCUUGUCUUAGCUGUGCGAUUCACAGCUUAAGGACCACCUUGCACUUUUGUGCCUCACUUUCUCCAUCUGUCAAACUCAUUUGUGCCUCACUUUCUCCAUCUGUCAACUGAGUGCUUCAGGCUUAGAGAGUGUGACUCAUUUGGCAAAAUGACAUUGCCCUUGGACUACUUCUGCUAUUUCACUUAAAGUCCUUGGUUUUGGUUCCCUUCUAGGGUCUUCGCUUUCUAGGGCCUUGUACACAUCACCACUAUUAGGAGGAACAUCCCCAGAGGUUCUGAAUCUAACACCCUGUGAGAAAUCAAACAGUCUAAGCCCUGGGGAAGGUGUUUUGAUUUUUCAAAACACAGCUGAGAGAGAAACAAUACUUCUCUGUGUUCCCCUCUGCUCCUCCCACCUGGCCAAGGGGAAUGAGUGCUUUUACACCAUGCUCCUUUCAGGAAACUGGAAAACAAUGGAAAAAAAAUCACCGACAGCUCUACAAAGAGCUGGGAUUGCACAAAAGUCACCUUGAACUCAGGCCUCAGGAUCCCAAGUUGUUGGAGCCAGCGGUUGUCAGCAGGAGCUGGCGAGACAAGUGUUGUUGGAAUAUUUCUGUUUAGUUCUAAGUCUUCCUCUUUUAUUUUCUUCCCUUAAGGAAAGGAAUGCAACAGGAGAGAGCAACUUUAUUUAUUUUCUUGACAUUCCUUCAUCUGCAGAGCAUUAGCUGCCUGUUUGUUAUGGUCCUGGCUUGCUACUGAGCCAGCAGGGAGGAAAUUGGAGGUAUAGGCAGAACGAUUACUUGGUUUGAAAAGACAACAGUGCCGCCAGAUUAAGUCCACAAGUCAAGUCUCAGACUGGUGCCUAUUGGACAAGACUUUGUAAACAGGGACCCGCAUUACCUGGAUCAUAAUGUGAGACUGAUCUUCCCUUCUCACUCCAAAGGGCAUGUUUAAAUGAACGUGGCAUUUAAAUGAGAUGGCAUUUUGUGCUGUGUAUCUCUCUUAAAAAGUCACUCAUUGCAUUUCUGACCUACGAAGGAACCCUGAUUCUCCCCCAUUCUUGGAACUUCUCUCUGUAUUGCAGAUGAGUUUAGUGAGAGAAGCAGAGAGCAUCGACCUUGUAUUCCCAAGCAAUGGAGCUUAGGUCAACUCUUAAGCUCAGCCAGAGGAAUUGAUGUUACCGUCUUUGUGAUGUUUUAUGUAUGAAUUUACCAUGCUAACCUCAUGUGUAUUCUUAUAGGAUCAGAGCUCAUUAGGGACAGGAAACAUGUCCCCAUAGAAAGUGUAAUUCUCUCAGGACAUGUUGCCUCUUCUUGUAAGAGUUUAUGUCCUAUCUGGGAUAACUGGUCUCUUAGCCUCCCAUGUGGUCAGACACAGACCGGUUUCUGUCCUAGUUGUCAUCUUGGGACAAUGAUACUUGUUAUGACUUAAUUGGUUUGGUGCCAAGAACCUGUCAAUGGACAUUGUAGCAGUGGCUAGAGUGUCAUUUUUGCCACUUUUGCAAAAUGAUUUUUAAUGGCAAAAAAAUAGGUUGGAGACAGUUUUAUUUUGGACUUCAGUUAUUUUUCUAUAUCAUUUUAUCUAACCUCCCUACAUCCCCAUUCAGAAAUGCUCCAGGAUCCUAAAAAAGUCUAUUUCCUGUUGUACUUAAGAUCUUCCAGCCUUUUUUAAAAGGUUGCAGCUAGGAUGUAUAAACAAGAAAAAUGUGUAAGGAUGCCUGGGGGUGCCUUGUACAUGGUGGGGUAAGGUCUGUCCUAGAGCCUUGCCUUUGCUUCUGGGCAAACUCUGGGAGCUGGUGCCCUCAGAGUCUGUAGGACACUAGCACUGUAACUUGUUCCCGUAUCUGUCCUUCUUCCAAAGUCUUGGAUUAAUGGCAGGUUGGUUAUCAUUUAAAGUAUUCUUUGAUUAUAACUGGGAGGUAAAAGUUACAAGGCUGCCAUAUUUGGCUUAACGUGGUCUUCUUUUUAAUUCAAAGGAAGACAAUAUUGAGAAGGAACAAGGCAUGAUGAGCAGGCGUUUGGAGCUUCUGCUCACUUUGUGACAAGAAAUUGUCAUUAUCUUGAGAAUUCCUGAGACUCAGGGCAAACCUCAGCUAUAAAUAAUUCUUAUGUUGGAAAAGCAACAUGGCAACCUGUGGAAGUGGUGAUAUAGUUCAAGGAAAACUAGCUUUGUGGUUGCAAGAUCUGGGUUCUUGGAAUGCGGCUGUCCCUUAUUAGCUCUGUGAUUAGCAAGUCACAAUCUCAUGAGGCUCUGCUUCCUCUUCUGUCAAGUGUGAAUAAUAAUACUUGCUCUGGUUGCUGCAUGGGGUUGUUCUGAAAAUGCAAACAGACAAAGGAAAGUUUUGUCUAACAUGGGUUAUAAAAUCAGUAUCUAUGAGGAAAACAAAGGAUGGCAAAAUUAUCUUUACAAAUACUAAAAUUCUGAGUGAGAGACAAAUAUUCUGUCUCCUAGUAAGUCCAAUGCAAUGAGCAGUUUUUUUUUAUUUUCCAGUCCUGGGACAAGUCACUGUUGCUUCAGUUGAGCGUAAGGUGAAGCACUUGGUUUGUGUUUGGAGUCUCUGUUGUACAAACACUUGAAUUUCGAUUUAAAUGAUGAGAGUCUCCUAAAAUGAGGGACUUAUAAGCAAGGGAAGCUGCUGGUGGGAAAGCACAGACACGCUACACGUCUCGGACUCGUGGAAGGAAAUGGCAGAUGGAACUACCUGUACUGUGCAUUGUUCCUCUCUUUCUUGUGCCUGUUUUAUUGCCUCCUGAGUGUAAACAUGAAUUCUUUUUAAAAAUGAAUACAUGUGACUAUAUUGCAAUAAAAACUUUAGAAAAAAACAUAAAAGGCCUAUACCAAGGAAAGAUGAAGUUGGAGCAAAAAUAUAGAGAAGAGGGCUGCCUAGACGGUUGCAUCAGAACCAUCUGGUUAGCCCCGAUUCUGCUUGAGGAGGAGGAGCAAGCCAGGGCGUGAAUGCUGAGGCCAGGGCUGCUGACUGCUUCAAGUGACAUUGCAGAUGCACAACGGGCUGUGUGCGUGCACGUGUGCAGUGUGAAGGGCUUUGUCAAAUGUUUGCUCACGAAACCAUCGCUGCGAUCAAAAGAGCAAGCAUUUCCAACAGUUCCGGAAGUCCCUCAUGCCCUUUUGUAACGCACCCCUUUCUCCACCCUCAUUCUCUGGCAACCACUGAUCUAUUGUUUGCCACUACCUAUUAUUUACCUGUCGCUCCCCCUCUUCGUGGAGGAGCAACACUGAACCCUGCGCUGUUCUUUCGUCUGCUCGGCCCUCCCCGGGUUGGCUGCUGGUUCUUCCCGGGUUGGCUACUAUCCCUUCCACCUCCGUGGAAGGGCAGUUCCCCCUGGCCACAUUCCCCACUUCCGCAGGGGAGCGGCACACCGCCGGCCGGCUCUCUGGGGGGCUGCACGGGUUCCCUUAGAUGUUCCCCAUAGAUGUUCCCGGUGCAUGCCGUUUCUCUCCUCCUUUAUAGUCCUCCUCCGCCAAUCCCAACUCGGCUGCCCACACGCCGAGUACGCUGCUCUCCAAUCAGGAGCAAGUCCUACAGUUAAUUGGUUGAACUGGAGGCAGCUGUGCGGAAGCUGUUUACUUCUCUCCCAGCGCCAUAUUGUGGGAGAGCAGAUGCAUAGAAUAAGUCUUAAUUCCAGUAACAGUCUAGUCCGGUUUGCUCCCCACAGAUCCCCCUUUCUUUUUAUUUUUUAGCGUUGAUACGCGCCUGUCUUCGGUGUCCCGCGGCACACACUCUGCUCUACUUGCUAGAGUUGCCACAGGCUCUUACAAGUCCUAUCAGGCAAACCGAAUCCGGGUCCUCUCUUCGCCAUUGUGAGGAGGUUUUUAGGCGCUGAUGCGUGCCUGUGUUCGGUGCCCUGCAGCGCAUACUCUGGUCGAGCUUUGCUGGCGCUUACCGCCUUAAAUCAGGCAGACCGAAUCCAAGCCUCCUAAUUGUUGCAUUGUGGGGAAGCUUUACUGAUGUUAAUUCGUGCCUGUCUUCGGUGACCUGCGGCUAGCCGCCCAGGUGCUCAUCGCCUCACUAAUCGGGCAGACCGAAUCCAAGCCUUCUAAUUGGCAUGUUGAGGGGAGGCCUUAUUUUUCUCUAUUUCUCUAUCUCCGGGCAUUCCUACCUCUCCCAUUUCACUUCUAUCUUCCAGCAUUCCCAUUUCUCUUUUACUUCACUUCCAAACUUCUGUUUCUCUUAUCCCCGCAGCUUCCCGGCACCUCGCCGCUUCAGCCCGCGCGCCUCUCUCAUCUGCACAGCUUCCCGGCUUUGCGCGGCUCGGCUUCGCGCGCUCCGCGGUCUCCACGCUUAACCCUUUCGCGUCUGAACCACGGCCUACGCCAGCGUUCCCUAUCUAUUCACGCCCCGUGCUCUCUCUGCACGCGGCGGCUUCCGCGAGUAACACAGCGUAGCUUGCGUCUCCACCACUAGCAUUCAAUCCAAGUUCCCCGGGCUAGCCUGGCGAAUUCAACCCAGCGUACGUCUCCGCCCCACGGUUUGGCUUCCCGUCCUUUGCUCCCCGGGCUAAUCAGACGGAUCCCAACCUGGCUUGCGUCUCAGCUUCUGGUUUCAACUUUUCGCCCCCUAUUCCCGGGCUAACUUGAGAACCCCAAAGUGGCUUUCGUUUCCGCCUUGGCCUGCCCCCCGCGGCUUCAAUUUCCCUAACAUUUUUCUCUACCCGGUAUGUUUCCCCAAGCUUUCCUCCAACGAUAUUCCUCCCUCAUUUCUCCUGGCCUCUCCCCACAGUCCGCGUCCGAGUCUGUUUGUUCUAGCUUUCACUUUCGCUUUUGACCUUAGAGAUUUCUCCCAGCUUCCCCCCGUAGUCCGUAUCCGAGUCUAUGCCUAGGCUUUCGAUAGCUUCUUCCGGCUCCUUUUUCGUCCGGCUUUUCCCUAGGCUGUUUGCUAGUCUCUCUCUCCGGUAAUUUCCCUAGGCUGUUUACUAGUUUCUCUCUCCGAUAUUUUCCCUAGUUCUUCCCGUUUCUUCCCUCCUAAGUUUUUUAUCCGUCCUAGGUUUCCUAUCCGAGUCACGUUUCUUCCCUCCUAAGUUUUCUAUCCGUCCUAGGUUUCCUAUCCGAGUCACGGCACCAUUAUGUCGCUCCCCCUCUUCGUGGAGGAGCAACACUGAACCC